This 504-nucleotide ribosomal RNA is filed under the name uncultured bacterium. RNAcentral describes it as "partial 16S ribosomal RNA". It matches the Rfam family "Bacterial small subunit ribosomal RNA", at positions 28 to 523 of the family's 1533-position model. The record is from RNAcentral.
GAUGAACGCAAGCGACAGGCUUAACACAUGCAAGUCGAGGGGCAGCACGGGAGUAGCAAUACAACUGGUGGCGACCGGCGCACGGGUGAGUAACGCGUAUGCAACCUACCUAUCAGAGGGGAAUAACCCGGCGAAAGUCGGACUAAUACCGCAUAAAACAGGGGCACCGCAUGGUGAUAUUUGUUAAAGAAAUUCGCUGAUAGAUGGGCAUGCGUUCCAUUAGGUAGUUGGUGAGGUAACGGCUCACCAAGCCGACGAUGGAUAGGGGAACUGAGAGGUUGGUCCCCCACACUGGUACUGAGACACGGACCAGACUCCUACGGGAGGCAGCAGUGAGGAAUAUUGGUCAAUGGGCGGGAGCCUGAACCAGCCAAGUCGCGUGAAGGAAGAAGGAUCUAUGGUUCGUAAACUUCUUUUGCAGGGGAAUAAAGUGCAGGACGUGUCCUGUUUUGUAUGUACCCUGAGAAUAAGGAUCGGCUAACUCCGUGCCAGCAGCCGCCGUAA